GUGGAUAUUUGUUUCCUUUCUCUUGUAUGUAACGACAAGAAAUCGCGCUCCGUGCAAAAACUUCAUAACCCUAACUUUCAGGCUCUACCUUUCCGAUUCUUGCGUUUGGGGUCAAAAUGGCGGAUUCUCCUGGAAAAAGGAAUUCACAGUCACUUUCCCCUUGGAGAGAACAGUCAAGGUCUAGGUCAGGAUCACGUUCCAGGUUAAGAUCUAGAUCAUUGUCCCGGCUGAGGCAUAGAUCCCGGUCCCGAAGUCAUGGCAGAUCAAGGUCUAGAAGCCGUGGCAGG
RNAcentral lists this unclassified non-coding RNA (287 nucleotides) under Hevea brasiliensis (rubber tree). Lineage: Eukaryota; Viridiplantae; Streptophyta; Magnoliopsida; Malpighiales; Euphorbiaceae. The record is from RNAcentral.